CAAUAGCGUAUAUUAAAGUUGUUGCGGUUAAAAAGCUCGUAGUUGGAGUUCUGCCAGGUGACGCUCGUCCGCCCAAGUGGUGUGUACAGGGCGUGCAUCUGGCCCUUUCAAGGGGAACGUGUCUGCACUUUACUGUGUGGUGCGAGAUCCUUGACUUUUACUUUGAGGAAAUCAGAGUGUUCCAAGCAGGCUCUCGUCGUGUAUAGCUCAGCAUGGAAUAAUAGCAUUGGACUUCGUUUCUAAGCUGUUGGUUGCAAGAAGCGAGGUAAUGAUGAAGAGGGAUAGUUGGGGGCAUUCGUAUUUAACUGUCAGAGGUAAAAUUCUUGGAUUUGUUAAAGACGGACUACUGCGAAAGCAUCUGCCAUGGAUGUUUUCAUUGA
This 380-nucleotide ribosomal RNA is filed under the name uncultured eukaryote. RNAcentral describes it as "partial 18S ribosomal RNA". It matches the Rfam family "Eukaryotic small subunit ribosomal RNA", at positions 592 to 976 of the family's 1831-position model. The record is from RNAcentral.